UCAUUACUGUUUUAAUACUCGUACAUUUAUGUGUGAUAAGACACGUCUAGAUUAUGUACUCCUAGGCUCCGUUUGGUUCGUGGGAUAAGCGGGGAUAACGAAAGUUAUCCCCGCUAUUCCGCCAAACGAGAUAAUUUUUUACUGAGAUAUUUUAUCCCGGUCAAACUUUGCUAUUCCCGAUUAUUCCGUAAUAGCUUGAGAUUUGCUAUUCUACCAUUUUGGUGGAAUAGUACUAUUCCAAUGCUUAAUUUCAAACUUAAUUAAAAUUAUAAAUUGAAUUAAAACUAAAUUAUAUAAAUAUAAUAUGUUAUAUACUUAAUAUAUUAUUUUUAUUAUAAAAUUAUUAAUUGUACUAUAUUAAUACAUAUUAUUUAUAUUUAAAUAUUAUAAUAAAUUAUUUUUAUUAAAUUUAAGUUUAAGUAGAAUUUUAAAAAAAUUAUAAAUUUAUUUAAUAAU
Molecule: long non-coding RNA, 456 nt
Filed under: Ananas comosus (pineapple)
Lineage: Eukaryota; Viridiplantae; Streptophyta; Magnoliopsida; Poales; Bromeliaceae
Description: long non-coding RNA (ACOM_LNC037121)
Source: RNAcentral